Molecule: long non-coding RNA, 436 nt
Organism: Argentina anserina (silverweed cinquefoil)
Lineage: Eukaryota; Viridiplantae; Streptophyta; Magnoliopsida; Rosales; Rosaceae
Exons: 3
Source: RefSeq, a predicted model, not a curated record
AGAAAAAGUUCAUUUAAUAGCCAAGAUCUCAUAACAUGCCUCCCUUUCGCACGAUCUGUACCUAAAACUCAGAGGAAAUCGAGAUCUAAAGCGAUUAUCUGCCUCUGAAUCAAUGGUUAUCAACUCUAGCUCUAUACCAUCCUGGUGCUGGUGUAGUUGUUGGUGUUGUCAACUAUUGGAGCUGCUGGUUUGAAGUGCAUAUCAACUGUUUGAGGGGACACAAAGGAUGUAGAGGUGAAAAGCUUUAUUCUGGCUUGUUUGCUAUCGCCCUUGUUUCACAUUCCAUUGUAUAGCACUAUCUAAACAUGAAGAGAGCUCUAAUGUUAAAGUUGGUCAAAUUAGAAGAACAUGAGAUGCGAAGGUCAGCACAUUUCCUACAAAAGAAGUCUGCACAUCUCCUGUGAAGAAUACCACAUCCCCGCAUAUUCAAAAAAAG